AAUCCGAGAAUUUCACCUCCAACGUCGCAAUAUGAAUGCCCCCGUCUGUCCCUCUUAAUCAUUACCUCGAGUUCCGAAAACCAACAAAAUAGAACCGAAGUCCUAUUCUAUUAUUCCAUGCACCACUAUUCAGGCGUAUCGCCUGCUUUGAGCACUCUAAUUUUUUCAAAGUAAACGUUCCAGUCGCCCAAAGCACUCGGUCAAGAGCACCAAGGGAAAACUAGAAAAUAAGCCCAGGUACUUGCAGUACCACCCUUUUGGGGGACCGCCAACCUAAGGCGCAGAUCCAACUACGAGCUUUUUAACCGCAACAACUUUAAUAUACGCUUUUGGAGCUGGAAUUACCGC
RNAcentral lists this unclassified non-coding RNA (348 nucleotides) under uncultured bacterium. RNAcentral describes it as "contains 16S-23S intergenic spacer region". The record is from RNAcentral.